Long non-coding RNA from Symphalangus syndactylus (siamang), 659 nucleotides. RefSeq lists it as uncharacterized. The record is from RefSeq and is a predicted model, not a curated record. Lineage: Eukaryota; Metazoa; Chordata; Mammalia; Primates; Hylobatidae.
ACACACUGAACAGCCUCACCCGCCGCAGCCUUGCUCUCAAGCUUUCCCCCAUGAGCAGAAAUAAGGGGACCAAUUUAUCACACCUGCUGGAUGCCGGAUGAGGUCACUGUGGCUUUGGGAUGUCACGCAAUGAGUAAGGCCUUGUGAGUCUUCACAGCAAGGGACUGGCCUGGAGGCUCCGAGCGGUCAGCUAGUUCCCGUCACUGGUCUCCCCGGGAAGCUGUGGAUGAGCAGUGACCCAGGCAGGGAAAGGCCUCGGAUGGAACUGCACUCAAGGACAUGUCUGCUUCAAAGCUUUUUUCCAAUUGGUUUUGCAUAGGGAACUCUGAGGCCAUCCCAGCUGCCCUUGUCUGCCCGUGAGAAUCCCCUUCUACAGUGCCUCAAGAGCAGGAUGGAAGGUCCAAGAGUAUGAAUUCAUUUCAUGACAUGUACCUUUUGCAACAUACCCUGUGCCCACUGGAGCAAGAAGGGGAGGCUGUCACCUCUUUGUUUUGUGUUAUGUCUUCCAUCGUCCAUAGUGCAGUGACCCUCAUGGCCUGGCCACCACAAGAAAAACAGGGAUCUUCUCUAAACUAUGGAAGAAAUCAUGAGGUGGGGCCCCCAGUCUUUUGGUAUGGGAGAUGCCAAACAAACAGGAAAUAAAGACACGAUUGCAGUGC